UACAGAGGCCUCGAGCGUUUAGGCGGAAUCACUGGGCUUAAAGCGUGUGUAGGCGGACUUCUAAGUACCUUGUGAAAUCCCACGGCUCACCCGUGGAACUGCUGGGUAUACUGGUCGUCUUGAGCCUUCUAGGGGCUACCGGAACAAAUGGUGGAGCGGUGAAAUGCGUAGAUAUCAUUGGAACGCCAAUGGUGAAAACAGGUAGCUGGGGAAGUGCUGACGCUGAGACACGAAAGCCAGGGGAGCGAACGGG
Molecule: ribosomal RNA, 253 nt
Filed under: uncultured bacterium
Lineage: Bacteria
Description: partial 16S ribosomal RNA
Rfam family: Bacterial small subunit ribosomal RNA
Source: RNAcentral